This 253-nucleotide ribosomal RNA is filed under the name uncultured bacterium. Its description in RNAcentral is "partial 16S ribosomal RNA". It matches the Rfam family "Bacterial small subunit ribosomal RNA", at positions 524 to 776 of the family's 1533-position model. The record is from RNAcentral.
UACAGAGGUCCCGAGCGUUGUUCGGAUUCAUUGGGCGUAAAGGGUGCGUAGGUGGCGCUGUAAGUGGGGUGUGAAAUCCCGGGGCUUAACCCCGGGACUGCAUUCCAUACUGCGGUGCUUGAGGACUGGAGAGGAAACUGGAAUUUACGGUGUAGCAGUGAAAUGCGUAGAGAUCGUAAGGAAGACCAGUGGCGAAGGCGGGUCUCUGGACAGUUCCUGACACUGAGGCACGAAGGCCAGGGGAGCAAACGGG